AUGUCAUAUGAUGUCAUUUUAUAUGACACACAAAGAUCAUAUAUAGAAGCAAUUUCAAAUUUAAUCAUUAAAAUUUUGGGAGUUGGAGAAUUGAACUACGUUUCCAGAGGUACAUUCACGGCAGUUCAAAUAAAAAGAAUUGGAACUGACGAUAUCCAGAUGGAUCUAAUGUUUGCCAGCAGCCAGGAAAUCAUGGAUGGUGGUCCGAGGAAAGGGCAAGAAUCAUCUGGUCACAGGUCAGGAAUAAAUGAACGACCUGAACCCAGAUCACUGAGGACAAAGCACCAAUUAACUAAAAGUCAUUGUCAACUGGUUGACAAAAUGAUCAGAAAGUUAAUUCAUCGGGUGUUUAAAAGGUCCAAAGUGUCUUGCUUCCCGGAGAACUUGGACUUUUAUACAAAGUACCUCUUUAAAAAACUGUGGCCUGAGGCAAAGAGGCUUCGACGCCACAUCAAUAAGGAAAAUUUUAAAGGUCUCCACAAAAGGAUCCACAAGGACAUGAGACAAAUUUUCCAAUUUAACCUUGGUGUAGGCAUCUCUGACAUGGAGAAGACAAUGUUUGAGGACUUACUGAUAAGACUCUUCAAACUGCACCUGUCAAAGAAGCCCAUAGUCUACACUGAGGUUGAAGACUGCUCAGACACGGACUCCCUUUAUUUACAAAAGAUGACUGUACCGGGGAGAACCGAACAAAAGAAGGUCUCCUUUACAGACUUAAGACACACGUUUAGUGAUGAGGAGUUCCAAAAGAAACCGUUUGGCCUGACAGCUUCAGACCCACAAUAUUGGUCAGUUGGCAUUCAGUCGGCUUUACAGUCGAGGGGGAGGCAAGAAAAAUGCAACAUGUUGAUCAAUCAGUUCUUGACGGAGCUGAUCCCCCUCAUGUUUGAAAAAGCCUACGUGGAAUGCUCUAAAGCUAAUUUUGACCAUCUAUUCAACCGGCUGUACAACAAAUUGUGGGAUUUGUGUGGGACUGCAGAUUUCAGGUUGACAAAGGAAAACGUGAAAAACCUUGCCAAGGAGACGUACAAAAACCUAUUUAAUUAUAGCCAAAAUAAAGACUGUUUGGCUUUAAUGACAUUGGAUUUGUAUGAACCUCCAAGUGACAUCAUUGUGGCAAAAACCUUUGAAAAACACAUGUUGAAGGAAAAAUCAAUGGUGUCCAAGUUCUUCACGUCCUUGUCAAAAGUCUUCACAAGAUCUGGAAGCAAGUAG
This 1215-nucleotide long non-coding RNA is filed under the name Oryzias sinensis (Chinese medaka). Its description in RNAcentral is "lncRNA (ENSOSIG00000021468.1)". Lineage: Eukaryota; Metazoa; Chordata; Actinopteri; Beloniformes; Adrianichthyidae. The record is from RNAcentral.